Callithrix jacchus (white-tufted-ear marmoset) is the source of this 108-nucleotide small nuclear RNA. Lineage: Eukaryota; Metazoa; Chordata; Mammalia; Primates; Cebidae. The record is from Ensembl.
GUACUUACUUUGGCAGCACCUAAUACUAAAAGUGGAACAAUACAGAGAAGAUUAGCAUGGCCCUUGCAGAAAAAGGAUAUGCAAAUUUGUGAAGCAUUCCAUAUAUUU